This 253-nucleotide ribosomal RNA is filed under the name uncultured bacterium. Its description in RNAcentral is "partial 16S ribosomal RNA". It matches the Rfam family "Bacterial small subunit ribosomal RNA", at positions 524 to 776 of the family's 1533-position model. The record is from RNAcentral.
UACGUAGGGGGCAAGCGUUGUCCGGAAUCAUUGGGCGUAAAGCGCGUGUAGGCGGCCUUGUAAGUCCGUUCUGAAAGCCCGGGGCUCAACCCCGGGAGGCGGAUGGAUACUGCAAGGCUCGAGUACGGAAGAGGCGAGUGGAAUUCCUGGUGUAGCGGUGAAAUGCGCAGAUAUCAGGAAGAACACCCGUGGCGAAGGCGGCUCUCUGGAACGCAACUGACGCUGAGACGCGAAAGCGUGGGGAGCAAACAGG